CUCCCCCCAUAACCCUUAUAACCCUAUAAUAACCCCUAUACCCCCAUAAUAUCCCCUAUACCCCCAUAAUACCCUAUAUCCCACAUAAUACCCCCCUAUACCCCUUAAUAACCCCAUAAUACCCUAUAUCCCACAUAAUACCCCCUAUACCCCAUAAUACCCCCAUAAUACCCUAUAUCCCCCAUAAUACCCCCCUAUACCCCAUAAUACCCCCUAUACCCCAUAAUACACCCUAUACCCCCCAUAAUACCCCAUAUACCCCCAUAAUACCCCCUAUACCCACAUAAUACCCCCCUAUACCCCCCCUAUACCUCCCUAAUACCCCCUAUACCCCACUCUGGGUCCCUAUGGGGACACUGGGGUCCCUUUAUGGGGUCUGGGGGGGGUAUAUAUGGGAUGGAUAAAGGGGGGGGACACUGUGGGUUCAUGUCCCCAAGGGCCACCACCUCCUUGGGUCAUGUCCAUAGGGGAUAUGGGGACAUAGGGGGGGACAUGGGGACACCCCAAGGGUCCUUUAUGACCCCAAAGGACCCCAAGGACCCCCAUCUCCAUGUCCAUAAUGGAUAUGGGGACAUAGGGGGGGACAUGGGGACACCCCAAGGGUCCUUCAGUGUCCAUAAGGGACAUGGGACCCCGAAGGGACCCAAGGACCCCUCUAAUGUCCCAUAGAUGGAUAUGGGGACCCCAAGGGAGCCCCUAAGGACCCCCAUCUCCAUGUCCAUAAUGGACACAGGGACACAGACUGAUGGUGUGUGAUGGGGGGUGAGGUUAUAAUUGGGGUGGGGGUCCCCUGUUGGGGGGGUUAUGGGGCAGGGAUGGGACGAGGACCCACCUGGCUCGUCACCUGAGGCCGGGGGUCCGGAGCGCGCUACCUGACGUAACAGCUCUAGGAUCGAAAGAGGAAAGGGGGGGUCAGCGCCCGCCGUCCAUCUUUACAGGGGGGGC
RNAcentral lists this long non-coding RNA (945 nucleotides) under Coturnix japonica (Japanese quail). Its description in RNAcentral is "lncRNA (ENSCJPG00005001620.1)". Lineage: Eukaryota; Metazoa; Chordata; Aves; Galliformes; Phasianidae. The record is from RNAcentral.